CUCUCUCCAUUUUCGAAAGUUCGACGCGAUUUUUUUCCGUCUCUUUUUUUUCUUUUUCUUCUUUUUUUCUCUUCUCAGCUAUCGCCAAGUUCAUUUCGAAGCGCGUUAAGAUCGUACGAUCUAAAGAAAGGGAGAAGGAGGAGAGGCAACGUUCUCGAUAACUCCGAUAUUAAUUCCGCGCUUCUCGACUUUAUCGUCGAGCAAAAUCGUUACGACGACGACGACGACGACGAUGAAGACGACGAAGACGACUUCUCGGUGUUAUUUAACGCGAAAGUUUCGCAAUCCUGCGAGUCGCUUCGUCGACUAGAUCGACAACAUCGUGCCGAGUUCCAGUCGUAAGUACGGACAAUGUAUACUCGAUAACUGAGUCACUAGUAUCUAAGAUAUCUUACCCAUAGACACACAUAUCUGAUAUCCUCGAUCGUCGUCUUUUACCUUUCGAAAAAAAAAAACACACACAUUUAAAGUUGCAAGUGUUAAAACGAUUGUCCGUGACAUUAUCCCUGUGGAUUAUCUCCGAUCGAACGUAUCGAUCGAUAGUUUCGACGAAAGAAAUAUGGAAUCGUAAAAAAGAAAAAAAGAAAAAAAAAAAGAAAAGAAAGAAAAAUUUUUGUUCGUUAAACAACGUCGUACCUCGUGCGUGACAAAAUGUUCCCCUGUAAUUACUGCUACAUAAUAUACCUAUUACGUAAUAUGUAUCUACCUACGUAUUACCACGGCUUGUGGAUGUUAACUCUCGAGGUCGAGUUCGAUUUAAAAACAUCGUGAAAGGUCAACUUACACCGUAAUCAAACACUUCUUUUUCUUAUUACGUUACACAAUUUUUGUUUGUAAACUUCUCGCGAGGCCUCAGUCUUUCACGAGUGUUCGAAUCGAAAGGACCAGAAGAGAAGUCUUGAUAUAAUUACGAUUGAGAAUAAAUUCAAAGUUGUAAACGAAUGAUAUCUCGUUUCUUUCUUAUUAUUAGAUUCGAAAAGAUGGAGGAAGGAAAAGAUCGGGAUGAUCAAUAGGCUCGUCGUAAUCGUCGUAAUCGUCGUAAUCGUCGUCGUCGUCGUCGUCGUAUCACGGGACCGUGACAGCUGUACGAUGGAGAACCCUGAGAACUGGAGGAAAGUGGAAACGUAAUUCCGACAUAACUUUCUCGGAAUGCUUUUAUUAAAACUGUAAAAGCUUGGAAUUCGACGCUACGAAAGUCGACUGGCUUAGUUGCGAUAGAAACAGAGAAAUUUUCUUUUCUCCAUCUGCUUAUGUAAAGAGGAAUGAAUAGUAGCGUUUGAGGAGAGAGAGAGAGAGAGAGAGAGGGAGGGGAAGAAAGGAGAUAGAUAAAGAUGGAAACAUCGAAACUCGUUAGUAAUAACGAAGUCGAUGAUCGUACCUGCGCUGACCAUGUCGACAAAUCCAAGGAAAGGUGUAAGAAGGGCCAAGUCUCUCCUCGGUAGAAGAGAUGCAUGAGGAGGCAACGCGUUGCAAGCAGGUACGUAGUACGUCGACGUAGAGAAAGAAAGAGAGGGGGAAAGAGAGAGAGAGAGAGAGAGACAGACAGAAGGUUCCUAUCGUGUAACCGCGUGCCACGAGGAGCGAGCACCUGUUGGCUGCUCGUGUACAGCUUUUACAGGGAAUUCCUUGGUCUCUCUGUGCUCGCGCGCACCAUCGGACUUUCGACCAAGAAACGAAACGUGUUCUUUGCUUCGCCUUGGAACGGAUAUUUCAUUGCAUUCGACGUGACACAUGUAGAUAAAAGAUUCCGGGUGUCUUGUAUUCUGGCACGACAAAAGCACACGAACGUCUUUGGGAAAGUAUCCUUAGAACCCUUUUUAUCCGGCUAUUACGUUUCUGCAGGUAGAAGCUCCGCUAGCCUUUCAAAAUGGCAACGAGCCCUGCGAAAUGGUGUAUCUCUGGUGGAAAGACAAAAAAAUGGAGCACCGCUCCAAAUUUGUAAGUCCACAGCUUCCGGCCGUACGUACAUAAGACGACAACGACGAAGAGUGGCCGAAGAAGAGGAGAUCGACGAAGAGGAUGAACACCGCCAGAGCUUCCCAAAAUAAGGCUCGUGAGAAUCAGGGAAUUCCACUCCCACGUUUCUACGGUAGAACGCUAUGUGUCGAGAUGGAACGCGAUGCCGUGGAACUCUGCCAAAGUGACGUCAAAAUUGCCUUGAGUGCACUUCUUCAUCGCUUAUCCCUCUUUCUCUCUAUUUCUCCCUAUUCCUUCUUCACCGAACUACCCCCACACAUCUCACCCCUUCCCAUUUUCGAUCUCUACGCGUUUUCCUUUUCAUUUUAUUCCAUUUGUUUCCUUUUUUCUUUCUCUCUCUUUCU
This is a long non-coding RNA of Vespula pensylvanica (western yellowjacket), 2321 nucleotides long. RefSeq lists it as uncharacterized. The record is from RefSeq and is a predicted model, not a curated record. The transcript is spliced from 3 exons. NCBI's taxonomy places the organism in Eukaryota, Metazoa, Arthropoda, Insecta, Hymenoptera, Vespidae.